This 458-nucleotide ribosomal RNA is filed under the name uncultured bacterium. RNAcentral describes it as "partial 16S ribosomal RNA". It matches the Rfam family "Bacterial small subunit ribosomal RNA", at positions 338 to 795 of the family's 1533-position model. The record is from RNAcentral.
CCUACGGGAGGCAGCAGUGAGGAAUAUUGGUCAAUGGGCGAGAGCCUGAACCAGCCAAGUCGCGUGAGGGAGUACUGCCCUAUGGGUUGUAAACCUCUUUUGUCGGGGAGCAAAAGCCGGACGUGUCCGGCUGUGAGAGUACCCGAAGAAAAAGCAUCGGCUAACUCCGUGCCAGCAGCCGCGGUAAUACGGAGGAUGCGAGCGUUAUCCGGAUUUAUUGGGUUUAAAGGGUGCGCAGGCGGAUUUUUAAGUCAGCGGUAAAAUCGUGGGGCUCAACCCCAUCCAGCCGUUGAAACUGGGGGUCGAGAGUGUGCGAGAGGUAUGCGGAAUUCCUGGUGUAGCGGUGAAAUGCGUAGAUAUCAGGAGGAACACCGGCGGCGAAGGCGGCCUGCUGGACCGCGACUGACGUUGAGGCUCGAAAGCGUGGGGAGCGAACAGGAUUAGAUACCCCGGUAGUC